ACACCUCAACUCUCAUGGUUUUGCCAUGAUGAGCUUGGACUUUGGGGGUCUUGCCGGCCUGCGGUCGGCUCCUCUCAAAUGAAUCAGCUUGCCAGUGUUUGGUGGCGUCACGAGUGUGAUAACUAUCUGCGCUUGUGGUUUUCCACCAGUUAACCUUCAGUGAUGAGGGUUCACUGGAGCUCAUAAAUGUCCCUCCUCUGCGAGGACAACUUUUUGAAU
This 219-nucleotide unclassified non-coding RNA is filed under the name uncultured Thelephoraceae. Its description in RNAcentral is "sequence contains ITS2". The record is from RNAcentral. Lineage: Eukaryota; Fungi; Basidiomycota; Agaricomycetes; Thelephorales; Thelephoraceae.